Molecule: long non-coding RNA, 1201 nt
Filed under: Mus musculus (house mouse)
Lineage: Eukaryota; Metazoa; Chordata; Mammalia; Rodentia; Muridae
Description: long non-coding RNA chr4:117553466-117554667
Source: RNAcentral
UCUGCCUUCCAAGUGCUGGGAUUAAAGGCGCCACCACGCCUGGCCUGAACAAUGUUCUUAAGUCUCUCUCUCUUUUUUUUUUCUUCUCACGUAUAUUUGACCUUAACUAAAAUGACCAGACUGGCUUCAGACUUGGCAGCCCCCCUGUUUCAUGCUCUACCUAGUGACUGAGAUUAUAAGCAUGGACUACCAUGCCCAGCCAUGGUUUUUUUAAUAGACACCUCAUGAGUGAGUUCCUUGCCUUGAGGGUUAUGGAGUAGGGCUGGAAUGGCCCUAUAUUCUGAGAAAUACUCAUCUUAAUUCAACAAUAAGACCACCUCUCAUGUGACUCUUGUGACAUAUUUGACCAAAACCUUUCAGAUUUGGUUUUGAGUUAUGUGUCACCCUUGAGUGAAUGAUUGGUCCCCACCUACUUCCACCUGAACUGACUAAAAGGUGGGCUUUUGAUGAUUGGUAUCCAGGGAUUUGGAAGUUGUUUGUUCAAUAACUGAGGCCCAGACACUUUGCUAGUUGCUGGGAUUAUAGUGGAAAAGCAGGCUGCCUAUGAUACCCACAGCUUUAUGAUCUAGGGGAGAGACCAACAGCAGUGCAGCAAUGAUGGUGCACCUGCUAGCGGUGCAGCAAGGGACCAGGUUCUCUGAGACUGCACAAGUGUUCUUACUGUGAACUUGCAGGCUCUGAGGUGACUUCUCAAGGAACCCACCCCCUUACCUAGAAGUAAAUAAACAUGUGAGAUGAAGUAUCAGCUUUGUUAAGUUUGAGGAAGUUUGGUGUGAUUAAAAGGCAGAUGGGAAAUGAAUCAGAAAAGGGGAGCAAAGUCUCAUGCCUUAGAAACUCCAGUGAGAUGGUGGGGCGAGAACGGGUAGGUGGAGGGGUAAAAGACUACAGGUUAGCAAGCUUUUCUAGGACAGACUAGAGUAAAUACUUAGGGUUUGUGACUCUUUUACAUCUGUACAGCUUGUAAUAAGCGUUUCAGCAGCUUUGGAUACUGUGAAGGUAAACAUGAUUGUGUUCUAGUAAAAAAUGUAUUUAUAAAAGCAGGUGGCAUCUGGAUUUGAUUCAUGGACCAUGGUUUGUCUAUCUGGAUCACAACAAUAAAAGAUUGUACCAGCUUAGGGUGGUGGUAUACUCCUGUAAUUGGUAGGGUAAAGCAGGAGAGUUGCUAAUUCAAGGCCAGCCUGUGCUACAUAAGAAAGCCGAG